RNAcentral lists this non-coding RNA (160 nucleotides) under unclassified sequences. RNAcentral describes it as "DUF2800 RNA". It matches the Rfam family "DUF2800 RNA". Rfam says of the family: Actinobacteria, Firmicutes, Synergistetes (1 example). Terminator (Clostridia) The record is from RNAcentral.
CCGUCACUUGAUGCACCGAGUCGCUCUCGGUGGCUCACUUCAUCUGGCGGACAACCAAAUACCAACACGGCGAACCUAUGAGCAAGGUCGCCGCAAUCCGAGACGGAGCGAUUCGUUUGGAGUGCGGUUUUAUUUCCUAUGCCCAUUUUACAGCCGAACC